Molecule: ribosomal RNA, 393 nt
Filed under: uncultured bacterium
Lineage: Bacteria
Description: partial 16S ribosomal RNA
Rfam family: Bacterial small subunit ribosomal RNA
Source: RNAcentral
AUACGGAGGAUCCGAGCGUUAUACGGAUUUAUUGGGUUUAAAGGGAGCGUAGGUGGACAUGUAAGUCAGUUGUGAAAGUUUGCGGCUCAACCGUAAAAUUGCAGUUGAUACUGUGUGUCUUGAGUACAGUAGAGGUGGGCGGAAUUCGUGGUGUAGCGGUGAAAUGCUUAGAUAUCACGAAGAACUCCGAUUGCGAAGGCAGCUCACUGUACUGUUACUGACACUGAGGCUCGAAAGUGUGGGUAUCAAACAGGAUUAGAUACCCUGUUAGUCCACACAGUAAACGAUGAAUACUCGCUGUUUGCGAUAUACAGCAAGCGGCCAAGCGAAAGCAUUAAGUAUUCCACCUGGGGAGUACGCCGGCAACGGUGAAACUCAAAUGAAUUGACGGGG